CAAACCCCUAUCUAGUUAGUGUGCUUCUUAGAAUACAAAUAGAAUUACAAAAUGUUUCAGUAAUCAAAAAGGGACAGCAUCGGCAAACAGUUGACAUCAAAAUUGUCUGCUCAUCAAAGAGGAAUGACAGAUCCUCCUUCAUCAACAUGUUUUCCUUAGGAAUGGUGCCAGGAUGCAGGGCAUAAGUGAGAGGACAGUUCCCUUGGUUAUGAGGUAACUAAAAAUAGCCACCUUUGAAAGCCAUCAGAGGUCACUUGUUUUGAAGAAAAUCAUCAGAAGAACUUUGAACUAUAAGAUAUUGACUAUUAAAUCAUGUUAUUUUCUUCAUUUGUCAAAGUUAUUGGGAUGUAGCAAAUACUUGAGACUUUGAAUUGAGUAGAUUUUGAGUAGAUUUAUGAAUGAAAUCAAAGGACACACAAAAACAGUGUAAUUCACCCAUCUGGAGACUCCACGUAUGAGUUUGAAAACUUUUAGUAUGUAUGCCAAUUAGUCCAUCCAGCCAAAUAGGCACAACAAUUUUCCGAUAAUAAGAAAAAUAAGACCAAGAAGCUAGCUGGAAUACUAAGAAAAACAACAGAGGGAGUUAAAUUCUUCAUUAAAAUUGACCACUUCUAGAGGCCUUGCAGGAAAUAUUAAAAUAAGUUCUUCAAUGAGAAUGAAAAUGAUAUAGGUCAGAAACUUGGAUCUGCAUGAAGAUACACCUUAAAAAAGGAAGAGCAUCAGAAAAAUGAAUAAGUGAAGGUCAAGUGCUGUGCUGUACUGAUUGAUAGAUUGUCUCCAGCAGGAAGUUUGACAAUGGACAACCUAGAAGCAGAUGUGCCUGAUAAAUGUAAAUGGUAGCUUCUUUGUGGCCCUUCCACCAGAAGUGAAGAAGCCUGGUGCAGAGCUUCUACUUGACCUAUGAUAGAUAUGCUGCUGGAGAAGAAAUCAACCUCCUGGUUCCCACCCAUAUCUUGCUCUGGUUAGUCACAAUCAGAAUCUUCACAACCACAAUCAGAAUCUUCCCACAGCCCUACCUGCAACACCUGCUUGUCUCUGCCAUUACAA
This 1047-nucleotide long non-coding RNA is filed under the name Homo sapiens (human). Its description in RNAcentral is "HSALNT0306080". Lineage: Eukaryota; Metazoa; Chordata; Mammalia; Primates; Hominidae. The record is from RNAcentral.